RNAcentral lists this ribosomal RNA (407 nucleotides) under uncultured bacterium. RNAcentral describes it as "partial 16S ribosomal RNA". It matches the Rfam family "Bacterial small subunit ribosomal RNA", at positions 28 to 526 of the family's 1533-position model. The record is from RNAcentral.
GACGAACGCUGGCGGCGUGCCUAAUACAUGCAAGUAGAACGCAGUUGCGAACGGGUGAGUAACGCGUAGGUAACUGGCUGGUAGCGGGGGCUAACUACUGGAAACGAUAGCUAAUACCGCAUACUACCAGAUGGACCUGCGUUGUAUUGUCUAGUUGGUGGGGGAACGGCCCACCAAGGCAACGAAACAUCACCGGGCUUGGUGGGUGAUCGGGCCACCUGGGACUUAGACCCGGCCCCGAUCCCUUCCGGAGGGAGCAGUAGGGAAACAUUGGAAAAUGGGGGAACCCUGACCGAGCAACGCCGGGGUAGUGAAGAAGGUUUUCGGAUCGUAAAGCUCUUUUGUGAAGGGAGCGGUACUUACCCAGAAAGGGACGGCUAACUACGUGCCAGCAGCCGCGGUAAUAC